GAACUUAAGCCCCAGUAAACGGCGGCCGUAACUAUAACGGUCCUAAGGUAGCGAAAUUCCUUGUCGGGUAAGUUCCGACCCGCACGAAAGGCGUAACGAUUUGGGCACUGUCUCAACAACAGACUCGGUGAAAUUGUAAUCCCGGUGAAGAUGCCGGGUACCUGCGACAGGACGGAAAGACCCCAUGGAGCUUUACUGUAGCUUGACAUUGGGUUUCGAUACUACAUGUACAGGAUAGGUGGGAGACUAAGAAAUCAGGGCGUCAGUUUUGAUGGAGUCAUCCUUGGGAUACCACCCUUGUAGUAUUGGGACUCUAACCAUAGGCCAUGAAUCUGGUCUUGGGACACUGUCUGGUGGGCAGUUUGACUGGGGCGGUCGCCUCCCAAAAGGUAACGGAGGCGCUCAAAGGUUCCCUCAGUACGGUCGGAAAUCGUACGAAGAGUGUAAAGGCAAAAGGGAGCUUGAUUGCAAGACAUACAGGUCGAGCAAGGUAGAAAUACGGACUUAGUGAUCCGGUGGUUCUGAGUGGAAGGGCCAUCGCUCAACGGAUAAAAGCUACCCUGGGGAUAACAGGCUUAUCUCCCCCAAGAGUCCACAUCGACGGGGAGGUUUGGCACCUCGAUGUCGGCUCAUCACAUCCUGGGGCUGUAGUAGGUCCCAAGGGUUGGGCUGUUCGCCCAUUAAAGUGGUACGCGAGCUGGGUUCAGAACGUCGUGAGACAGUUCGGUCCCUAUCCGUCGCAGGCGUAGGAAAUUUGAGAAGAUCUGUCCUUAGUACGAGAGGACCGGGAUGGACAUACCUCUGGUGUACCAGUUGUUCUGCCAAGGGCAUGGCUGGGUAGCUAUGUAUGGAAGGGAUAAGCGCUGAAAGCAUCUAAGCGCGAAGCCAACUUCAAGAUAAGAUUUCCCACCGCAAGGUUAAGAUCCCAGGAAGACUACCUGGUUGAUAGGUCAGAGGUGUAAGUGCAGCAAUGUAUGUAGCUUACUGAUACUAAUAGAUCGAGGACUUGACCAA
Molecule: ribosomal RNA, 1014 nt
Filed under: human gut metagenome
Description: bacterial LSU rRNA
Rfam family: Bacterial large subunit ribosomal RNA
Source: RNAcentral